RNAcentral lists this ribosomal RNA (406 nucleotides) under uncultured bacterium. RNAcentral describes it as "partial 16S ribosomal RNA". It matches the Rfam family "Bacterial small subunit ribosomal RNA", at positions 29 to 526 of the family's 1533-position model. The record is from RNAcentral.
AUUGAACGCUGGCGGCAGGCCUAACACAUGCAAGUCGAGCGAGCGGCGGACGGGUGAGUAAUGUCUGGGAAACUGCCUGAUGGAGGGGGAUAACUACUGGAAACGGUAGCUAAUACCGCAUACCAUCAGAUGUGCCCAGAUGGGAUUAGCUAGUAGGUGGGGUAACGGCUCACCUAGGGGACGAUCCCUAGCUGGUCUGAGAGUAUGAACAGACAAACGGGAAAUGAGACACGGGCCAGACUCCUACGGGAGGCAGCAGUGGGGAAGAUUGCACAAUGGGCGCAAGCAUGAUGCAGCCAUGCCGCGUGGGUGAAGAAGGCAUUCGUGUUGUAAAGCACUCGCAGCGGGGAGGCGUUAACCGCAGAAGAAGAACCGGCUAGCUCCGUGCAAGCAGCCGCGGUAAUAC